RNAcentral lists this ribosomal RNA (254 nucleotides) under uncultured bacterium. RNAcentral's name for it is "partial 16S ribosomal RNA". It matches the Rfam family "Bacterial small subunit ribosomal RNA", at positions 524 to 776 of the family's 1533-position model. The record is from RNAcentral.
CACGUAGGGGGCAAGCGUUGUCCGGAAUCAUUGGGCGUAAAGAGCUCGUAGGCGGCUCAGUAAGUCGGGUGUGAAACCUCCAGGCUCAACCUGGAGACGCCACCCGAUACUGCUGUGGCUAGAGUCCAGUAGGGGAGUGUGGAAUUCCCGGUGUAGCGGUGAAAUGCGCAGAUAUCAGGAGGAACACCGGUGGCGAAGGCGGGUCUCUGGGCCGAAACUGACGCUGAGGAGCGAAAGCGUGGGGAGCGAACAGG